Passer domesticus (house sparrow) is the source of this 990-nucleotide long non-coding RNA. RefSeq lists it as uncharacterized. The record is from RefSeq and is a predicted model, not a curated record. The transcript is spliced from 3 exons. Lineage: Eukaryota; Metazoa; Chordata; Aves; Passeriformes; Passeridae.
AAUCAUCCAAGUUCAUCUGCUGACCCUGCACAGGACAGCCCCAUAAAUUACACCAUUUGACUGAGAGUGUUCUCCAGAUGCUUCUUGAACUGUGUCAGGCUUGGUGCUGUGACCACCUCACUGGGGAUCCUGCUCCCACCUUCCCACCCACCCUCUGGGUGAACGACCUUUUCCUGCUAUCCAACCUAAACCUUCCCUGACACAAUUUCAGACCAUUUCUUCAGUCCUGUCACUGGUCACCAGAGAGAAGAGAUCAGUGCCUGCCCCUCCUCUUCCCCUCACGAGAAAGUUAUAACAGCAAUGGGGUCUCCCCUCAGUCUCCUCUUCUCCAGGCUGAACAGACCAAGUGGUUCAGAGGAGGGGUUUGACCGAGGGUUGCCCACAUACCUCAGGAGUUUGGGGAAGGGCGAUCCAGAGGCCUUGGGGAGGGUGAAUGGACCAGGCCUAGGUGCUGAGGAGAGAGCCAUGAGUCUGCUGAAUCCGAGCUGACUCCCUCCAGCCCUGAAAAAGUUCCAUCAUUAGUCUAUGAUCUGAAAUUUGAAAGCUGCACAAGUUGUUUAUGCUCUUGGGCCUGAGAUCUGUAUCGGCUGUCCUUGGGUCCCCAGCUGGAGAAGGAAUUGUUUUGUCUGCCUACACUGUGAAGAAAGCUUACCAACACUUAAUAUGAAGCUCAGAAUUACACACUAAAGCAGCACAGAAUCUGAAAAAUACAAAAGCUAAAACUUAAGGCAUCAAAAGAAAAUUCAAGCUGAAUAUGUAUUAAAGAAGAAACUGAUGAAGCUCAUGAUGAGGAAGACUGCGGGAGUGAUUUUGCACACAAGGCAAGGGAAGGUCACUGGUCCCACACAGCACCGUGAAUCUGAACUGUGUGCAGCAUCUACCUCCAAACAUGUACUGCUAUAUUUAGAGGAGUCCAGCAAAUACUAUUGAGUAUAAGAUGUUGAACAGAAACAGUAAUUUUCAUCAGUGUAUUAUCUUCCCCUCUUUACA